Molecule: ribosomal RNA, 423 nt
Filed under: uncultured cyanobacterium
Lineage: Bacteria; Bacillati; Cyanobacteriota
Description: bacterial SSU rRNA
Rfam family: Bacterial small subunit ribosomal RNA
Source: RNAcentral
GGGGAAUUUUCCGCAAUGGGCGCAAGCCUGACGGAGCAAUACCGCGUGAGGGAGGAAGGCUCUUGGGUUGUAAACCUCUUUUCUCAGGGAAGAAAAAUGACGGUACUUGAGGAAUAAGCAUCAGCUAACUCCGUGCCAGCAGCCGCGGUAAUACGGAGGAUGCAAGCGUUAUCCGGAAUGAUUGGGCGUAAAGCGUUCGCAGGUGGCAUUGAAAGUCUGCUGUUAAAGAGUCUGGCUCAACCAGAUACAGGCAGUGGAAACUACAAAGCUAGAGUGCGGUAGGGGCAGAGGGAAUUCCUGGUGUAGCGGUGAAAUGCGUAGAGUUCAGGAAGAACACCGGUGGCGAAAGCGCUCUGCUAGGCCGCAACUGACACUGAGGGACGAAAGCUAGGGGAGCGAAUGGGAUUAGAUACCCCAGUAGUA